GUGCUCACUUAGGCAGCACAUGUACUAAAAUUGGAACAAGACAGAGAAAAUUAGCAUGGCCCCCUAUGUAAGGAUGACACGAACAUUUGUGAAGCAUUCCAUAUUAAA
RNAcentral lists this small nuclear RNA (108 nucleotides) under Carlito syrichta (Philippine tarsier). The record is from RNAcentral. Lineage: Eukaryota; Metazoa; Chordata; Mammalia; Primates; Tarsiidae.